GAUGAACGCUAGCUACAGGCUCAACACAUGCAAGUCGAGGGGUAACGAGAGGAAAGCUUGCUUUCCUUGUCGACGACCGGCGCACGGGUGAGUAACGCGUAUCCAACCUGCCCCCAACUAGGGAAUAACCUUGCGAAAGUAAGACUAAUACCCUAUAAUUUCCUCAGAUGUCAUCUGACGAGGAAUAAAGAUUUAUCGGUUGUGGAUGGGGACGCGUCUGAUUAGCUUGUUGGCGGGGUAACGGCCCACCAAGGCAACGAUCAGUAGGGGUUCUGAGAGGAAGGUCCCCCACAUUGGAACUGAGACACGGUCCAAACGCCUACGGGAGGCAGCAGUGAGGAAUAUUGGUCAAUGGGCGGAAGCCAGAACCAGCCAAGUAGCGUGCAGGAUGACGGCCCUAUGGGUUGUAAACUGCUUUUAUACAGGAAUAAAGUUAGCCACGUGUGGUUAUUUGUAGGUACUGUAUGAAUAAGGACCGGCUAAUUCCGUGCCAGCAGCCGCCGCCG
Molecule: ribosomal RNA, 506 nt
Filed under: uncultured bacterium
Lineage: Bacteria
Description: partial 16S ribosomal RNA
Rfam family: Bacterial small subunit ribosomal RNA
Source: RNAcentral